RNAcentral lists this ribosomal RNA (292 nucleotides) under uncultured bacterium. RNAcentral's name for it is "partial 16S ribosomal RNA". It matches the Rfam family "Bacterial small subunit ribosomal RNA", at positions 505 to 796 of the family's 1533-position model. The record is from RNAcentral.
GUGCCAGCCGCCGCGGUAAUACGUAGGGUGCAAGCGUUAAUCGGAAUUACUGGGCGUAAAGCGUGCGCAGGCGGUUGUGUAAGACAGGUGUGAAAUCCCCGGGCUUAACCUGGGAAUUGCAUUUGUGACUGCACGACUAGAGUGUGUCAGAGGGGGGUGGAAUUCCACGUGUAGCAGUGAAAUGCGUAGAUAUGUGGAGGAACACCAAUGGCGAAGGCAGCCCCCUGGGAUAACACUGACGCUCAUGCACGAAAGCGUGGGGAGCAAACAGGAUUAGAAACCCCAGUAGUCC